RNAcentral lists this ribosomal RNA (611 nucleotides) under uncultured bacterium. RNAcentral describes it as "bacterial SSU rRNA". The stretch from base 1 to 518 matches the Rfam family "Bacterial small subunit ribosomal RNA", at positions 338 to 873 of the family's 1533-position model. The record is from RNAcentral.
CCUACGGGAGGCAGCAGUGGGGAAUAUUGGACAAUGGGCGAAAGCCUGAUCCAGCAAUGCCGCGUGAGUGAUGAAGGCCUUAGGGUUGUAAAGCUCUUUUACCCGGGAAGAUAAUGACUGUACCGGGAGAAUAAGCCCCGGCUAACUCCGUGCCAGCAGCCGCGGUAAUACGGAGGGGGCUAGCGUUAUUCGGAAUUACUGGGCGUAAAGCGUACGUAGGCGGUGGUUCAAGUCAGAGGUGAAAGCCCGGAGCUCAACUCCGGAACUGCCUUUGAAACUAGAUCGCUAGAACAUCGGAGAGGUAAGUGGAAUUCCGAGUGUAGAGGUGAAAUUCGUAGAUAUUCGGAAGAACACCAGUGGCGAAGGCGGCUUACUGGACGAUUGUUGACGCUGAGGUACGAAAGCGUGGGGAGCAAACAGGAUUAGAUACCCUGGUAGUCCACGCCGUAAACGAUGAUAACUAGCUGUUGGGCCUCAUAGAGGCUCAGUGGCGCAGCUACGACAUUAAGUUAUCCGUCCGUGGGUAGGUACGGUCGCGAAGAAUUAAACUACAAUAGUAAGUUAGACGGCGUGGAGACGUCGCCGAACGGACGACCGACGAGGGAGGUAGG